CCCCCCAGGGCACAUCCGAGUUGGUGGAACAAUCACUUCGCUGGGACGCUGGAAGCAAGGGUGGAGAGUUCGAUUCCUGGAGUUAACACUGGGUGCUAAAAUGGAGGGGAAGCCAUUUGGUUGAACAAACGCCAGCGAGGAGAGCUCUCUUUGCGGAAGGAGUCCAAAUGAGUUGUGGGAACCUGGGAGCCAACAAGGGCACAUCCUGCGAUUUACCUCCCUGAGCUGCUGAGGGGCCGGAGGUUCAGG
Molecule: long non-coding RNA, 249 nt
Filed under: Olea europaea (common olive)
Lineage: Eukaryota; Viridiplantae; Streptophyta; Magnoliopsida; Lamiales; Oleaceae
Description: long non-coding RNA (OEUR_LNC004372)
Source: RNAcentral